CAGCAGCCGCGGUAAAACGUAGGGUGCAAGCGUUAAUCGGAAUUACUGGGCGUAAAGCGUGCGCAGGCGGUUCGCUAAGACAGAUGUGAAAUCCCCGGGCUUAACCUGGGAACUGCAUUUGUGACUGGCGGGCUAGAGUAUGGCAGAGGGGGGUAGAAUUCCACGUGUAGCAGUGAAAUGCGUAGAGAUGUGGAGGAAUACCGAUGGCGAAGGCAGCCCCCUGGGCCAAUACUGACGCUCAUGCACGAAAGCGUGGGGAGCAAACAGGAUUAGAUACCCGAGUAGUCCCUGUCUCUUAUAC
RNAcentral lists this ribosomal RNA (301 nucleotides) under uncultured bacterium. Its description in RNAcentral is "partial 16S ribosomal RNA". It matches the Rfam family "Bacterial small subunit ribosomal RNA", at positions 509 to 807 of the family's 1533-position model. The record is from RNAcentral.